AUUGAACGCUGGCGGCAUGCCUUACACAUGCAAGUCGAACGGUAACAGGUUAAGCUGACGAGUGGCGAACGGGUGAGUAAUGUAUCGGAACGUGCCCAGUCGUGGGGGAUAACUGCUCGAAAGAGCAGCUAAUACCGCAUACGACCUGAGGGUGAAAGCGGGGGAUCGCAAGACCUCGCGCGAUUGGAGCGGCCGAUAUCAGAUUAGGUAGUUGGUGAGGUAAAGGCUCACCAAGCCGACGAUCUGUAGCUGGUCUGAGAGGACGACCAGCCACACUGGGACUGAGACACGGCCCAGACUCCUACGGGAGGCAGCAGUGGGGAAUUUUGGACAAUGGGCGCAAGCCUGAUCCAGCCAUGCCGCGUGCGGGAAGAAGGCCUUCGGGUUGUAAACCGCUUUUGUCAGGGAAGAUAAGGUUCUGGCUAAUACCUGGGACUCAUGACGGUACCUGAAGAAUAAGCACCGGCUAACUACGUG
RNAcentral lists this ribosomal RNA (477 nucleotides) under uncultured bacterium. Its description in RNAcentral is "partial 16S ribosomal RNA". It matches the Rfam family "Bacterial small subunit ribosomal RNA", at positions 30 to 507 of the family's 1533-position model. The record is from RNAcentral.